AAACUGGUUACCACGACAACCAUCAGUGCCGUGAGUUUUGACAUCUGUCAGAAACCUGCUGAAUAUUUCCAGCGUUUUAUGUGACAAAUGCUGAUUCAAAGAUGAAGGAUGAAGAGGAGAUGAUAUCAAUUGAUGAUAAAAAUCACCAACAGACUUCCCUGCUGGUAGAACAUCAAACCAACAAAAGUCCAGGUUGGCCUCGUGGUGAGGAGGAUGGCACCUGUGGAAGACAGCUAGAUGAACCCACUCCCACUGUGGACAGAAAACAUCAGCGUGACAUUGGAAAAUGCUUCAAAAAGCUGUCUAAACUUAAAGAACAUCAGAGAAUCCACUCUGGAGAAAAGCCACACCUGUGUGAAGUCUGCGGCAAGACCUUCAGGUUACGAUGCUAUUUGAAAAGCCACCAGCUCGUCCACAGUGAAAUGAGGCCAUACACUUGUCCUGAACCUGAAUGUGGACAAAGUUUCCGCAACCCAAGACAUUUUAAAAACCAUCAGAGCAUCCACUCUGGAGAAAAGCCACACCUGUGUGAAGUCUGCAGCAAGACCUUCAGGUUACGAUGCUAUUUAAAAAGCCACCAG
This is a long non-coding RNA of Melanotaenia boesemani (Boeseman's rainbowfish), 581 nucleotides long. RefSeq lists it as uncharacterized. NCBI's taxonomy places the organism in Eukaryota, Metazoa, Chordata, Actinopteri, Atheriniformes, Melanotaeniidae. The record is from RefSeq and is a predicted model, not a curated record. The transcript is spliced from 3 exons.